AAUUCUCAAAAACCUUUCUUUUGUGAAAGGGUUUUGGACUUGGAGGCUUUUUGCUGGCUUCACCUUGAAGCGAGCUCCUCCCAAAUGAAUCAGUGGGGUCUGCUUUGCCGAUCCUUGACGUGAUAAGAUGUUACUACGUCUCGGGUUCGGCGAUGUCUCUUGGGCACCUGCUUCUAACCGUCUCAUCGACAAUGAUGGCGUUCCGGUCACCACCGUUUCGACGGUCGGGAGGCUUGACCAACCAAAAAAA
RNAcentral lists this unclassified non-coding RNA (250 nucleotides) under Russula sanguinea. RNAcentral's name for it is "partial internal transcribed spacer 2". Lineage: Eukaryota; Fungi; Basidiomycota; Agaricomycetes; Russulales; Russulaceae. The record is from RNAcentral.